GCCGAGGUGGCGGAACUGGCAUACGCGUCGGUCUCAAAAACCGAUUUCCUCACGGAUAUGAGGGUUCAACUCCCUCCCUCGGCACCA
This 87-nucleotide transfer RNA is filed under the name Candidatus Omnitrophota bacterium. RNAcentral's name for it is "tRNA-Leu". It matches the Rfam family "tRNA". Rfam says of the family: Transfer RNA (tRNA) molecules are approximately 80 nucleotides in length. Their secondary structure includes four short double-helical elements and three loops (D, anti-codon, and T loops). Further hydrogen bonds mediate the characteristic L-shaped molecular structure. tRNAs have two regions of fundamental functional importance: the anti-codon, which is responsible for specific mRNA codon recognition, and the 3' end, to which the tRNAs corresponding amino acid is attached (by aminoacyl-tRNA synthetases). tRNAs cope with the degeneracy of the genetic code in two manners: having more than one tRNA (with a specific anti-codon) for a particular amino acid; and 'wobble' base-pairing, i.e. permitting non-standard base-pairing at the 3rd anti-codon position. Lineage: Bacteria; Pseudomonadati; Candidatus Omnitrophota. The record is from RNAcentral.